GACGAACGCUGGCGGCGUGCCUAAUACAUGCAAGUAGAACGCUGACUACUUUAGCUUGCUAGAGUAGAAGGAGUUGCGAACGGGUGAGUAACGCGUAGGUAACCUGCCUACUAGCGGGGGAUAACUAUUGGAAACGAUAGCUAAUACCGCAUAACAGUGUUUAACACAUGUUAGAUGCUUGAAAGAUGCAAUUGCAUCACUAGUAGAUGGACCUGCGUUGUAUUAGCUAGUUGGUGGGGUAACGGCCCACCAAGGCGACGAUACAUAGCCGACCUGAGAGGGUGAUCGGCCACACUGGGACUAAGACUCGGCCCAGACCCCAUCGGGAGGCAGCAGUAGGGAAUCUUCGGCAAUGGGGGCAACCCUGACCGAGAAACUCCGCGUGAGUGAAGAAGGUGUUCGGAUCGUAAAGCUCUGUUGUAAGAGAAGAACGUGUGUGAGAGUGGAAAGUUCACACAGUGACGGUAACUUACCAGAAAGGGACGGCUAACUACGUGCCAGCAGCCGCCGUAA
Molecule: ribosomal RNA, 513 nt
Filed under: uncultured bacterium
Lineage: Bacteria
Description: partial 16S ribosomal RNA
Rfam family: Bacterial small subunit ribosomal RNA
Source: RNAcentral